RNAcentral lists this ribosomal RNA (484 nucleotides) under uncultured bacterium. RNAcentral's name for it is "partial 16S ribosomal RNA". It matches the Rfam family "Bacterial small subunit ribosomal RNA", at positions 28 to 523 of the family's 1533-position model. The record is from RNAcentral.
GACGAACGCUGGCGGCGUGCUUAACACAUGCAAGUCGAACGAUGAACCCGGAGCUUGCUCCGGUGGAUUAGUGGCGAACGGGUGAGUAACACGUGAGUAACCUGCCCUUGACUCUGGGAUAACUGCGGGAAACUGUAGCUAAUACCGGAUACGACCCUCGGCGGCAUCGCCAGGGGGUGGAAAGAAUUUCGGUCAAGGAUGGACUCGCGGCCUAUCAGCUAGUUGGUGAGGUAACGGCUCACCAAGGCGACGACGGGUAGCCGGCCUGAGAGGAGGAGCGGCCACACUGGGACUGAGACACGGCUCAGACUCCUCCGGGGGGCAGCAGUGGGGAAUAUUGCACAAUGGGCGCAAGCCUGAUGCAGCAACGCCGCGUGAGGGAUGACGGCCUUCGGGUUGUAAACCUCUUUUAGUAGGGAAGAAGCGAAAGUGACGGUACCUGCAGAAAAAGCACCGGCUAACUACGUGCCAGCCGCCGCGGUAA